CCUACGGGUGGCAGCAGUGAGGAAUAUUGGUCAAUGGCCGGAAGGCUGAACCAGCCAUGCCGCGUGAAGGUCAGUGCCCUAUGGGCGUUAAACUUCUUUUGUGCGGGAGCAAUAAUGGUCACGUGUGGCCAGACGAGAGUACCGUACGAAUAAGCAUCGGCUAACUCCGUGCCAGCAGCCGCGGUAAUACGGGGGAUGCAAGCGUUAUCCGGAUUUAUUGGGUUUAAAGGGUGCGUAGGCUGUGAGGUAAGUCAGCGGUGAAAUGCCCCCGCUCAACGGGGUGAAGUGCCAUUGAUACUGCCUGGCUGGAAUGCGGAUGCCGUGGGAGGAAUGUGUGGUGUAGCGGUGAAAUGCAUAGAUAUCACACAGAACACCGAUUGCGAAGGCAUCUCACGAAGCCGCGAUUGACGCUGAUGCACGAAAGCGUGGGGAUCGAACAGGAUUAGAUACCCGAGUAGUC
Molecule: ribosomal RNA, 460 nt
Filed under: uncultured bacterium
Lineage: Bacteria
Description: partial 16S ribosomal RNA
Rfam family: Bacterial small subunit ribosomal RNA
Source: RNAcentral